Molecule: ribosomal RNA, 443 nt
Filed under: uncultured bacterium
Lineage: Bacteria
Description: partial 16S ribosomal RNA
Rfam family: Bacterial small subunit ribosomal RNA
Source: RNAcentral
CCUACGGGAGGCAGCAGUGGAGAAUAUUGGGCAAUGGGCGCAAGCCUGACCCAGCAACGCCGCGUGAAGGAAUAAGGCUUUCGGGUUGUAAACUUCUUUUCUGAGGGACGAAGAAAGUGACGGUACCUCAGGAAUAAGCCACGGCUAACUACGGGCCAGCAGCCGCGGUAAUACGUAGGUGGCAAGCGUUAUCCGGAUUUAUUGGGUGUAAAGGGCGUGUAGGCGGGAAAGGAAGUCAGAUGUGAAAACUCAGGGCUCAACCCUGGGCCGGCAUUUGAAACUGUUUGUCUUGAGUGAUGGAGAGGGAAUCGGAAUUCCGGGUGUAGCGGUGAAAUGCGUAGAUAUACGGAGGAACACCAGUGGCGAAGGCGGAUUGCUGGACAGUAACUGACGCUGAGGCGCGAAAGCGUGGGGAGCAAAAAGGAUUAGAUACCCUUGUAGUC